RNAcentral lists this ribosomal RNA (254 nucleotides) under uncultured bacterium. RNAcentral's name for it is "partial 16S ribosomal RNA". It matches the Rfam family "Archaeal small subunit ribosomal RNA", at positions 474 to 727 of the family's 1478-position model. The record is from RNAcentral.
UACCGGCGGCUCGAGUGGUGGCCACUAUUACUGGGCUUAAAGCGUCCGUAGCUGGAUUGUUAAGUCUCUUGGGAAAUCUACCGGCUUAACCGAUAGGCGUUCAAGGGGUACUGGCAAUCUAGGGACCGGGAGAGGUGAGAGGUACUCCAGGGGUAGGAGUGAAAUCCUGUAAUCCUUGGGGGACCACCUGUGGCGAAGGCGUCUCACCAGAACGGCUCCGACAGUGAGGGACGAAAGCUGGGGGAGCAAACCGG